GAUGAACGCUAGCGGCAGGCUUAACACAUGCAAGUCGAGGGGCAGCGUGGAGCAGCAAUGCUCUGACGGCGACCGGCGGAAGGGUGCGUAACACGUGAGCGACUUGCCCGUCACAGGGGGAUAACCCGGCGGAAACGGCGACUAAUACCCCAUACGAUGUGAUGCUGCAUGGCAUUGCAUUGAAAGAUUCAUCGGUGGCGGAUAGGCUCGCGGGACAUUAGCUAGACGGCGGGGCAACGGCCCACCGUGGCGACGAUGUCUAGGGGUUCUGAGAGGAAGGCCCCCCANACUGGGACUGAGACACGGCCCAGACUCCUACGGGAGCAGCAGUGAGGAACUAUUGGGUCAAUGGGCGAAG
Molecule: ribosomal RNA, 358 nt
Filed under: uncultured bacterium
Lineage: Bacteria
Description: bacterial SSU rRNA
Rfam family: Bacterial small subunit ribosomal RNA
Source: RNAcentral